UUUCCGUAGGUGAACCUGCGGAAGGAUCAUUACCAAAACGUUGGCGAGUGGGAGGCGCGAGUCUCUUGCUCGACAUACACCUUUGUGAAUAGGGGAGUGUUUAGCUAGGUGCUAGGCCAGUUUAAUUCAACUUGAACUGAACUGUUCUAACUAACUUAACCUAAACACUGCUUAGAAGGGUCUGAGGGAGCAGCCGAGUAGUAGUCUAGUCGAGAUUAGUCGAGACGGGACGAUGCUUGGCGCACAAUUAUUAUUGUAGUCUAAUUUGUUGUUGUCCGAGAGGACACUCAAUCUUUACAACUUUUAACAAUGGAUCUCUAGGCUCUU
This 327-nucleotide unclassified non-coding RNA is filed under the name soil metagenome. Its description in RNAcentral is "partial contains small subunit ribosomal RNA, internal transcribed spacer 1, and 5.8S ribosomal RNA". The record is from RNAcentral.